Cyanistes caeruleus (blue tit) is the source of this 1801-nucleotide long non-coding RNA. Lineage: Eukaryota; Metazoa; Chordata; Aves; Passeriformes; Paridae. The record is from Ensembl.
AAGCUGCCACCGCUGCAUCGCCGGCUUCGGGAGCUCCCGCGUUUGUGCUCGUGGUAGAAUUCUUGUGACGUGCCACGAAGACGCCUUGAACGGCAGCUUGCCCUGUUUGCCUUGACAUUAACUCCAUGGAUAACCCCCUGCAGCCGGGCAGGAUCUUUGCUAGGCUGCAGACGCCUCUCAGCCGACGGAUGCUGUGGUUGUGCUCUGCAAGGUGUCUGUUCCCGGGGCAAAGCGCUGUGUAAAUCCCUAAAACAGCACGAGCUGUGAGCAGAGAAGUGACCACCAGCCCUCACCCUGGGCCUGCUCUGUGGAAGGACAAAGGUUUGAAGAGUCUUCACCCCGCUCCCAGCCCACUGGCAGGAUGGUGCAGGGCUCCUGGGAGCAGUUUCUCAUUGUGGGCAUUGGUUUCCUCAACAAUUUUGGCUAGACAAGAGGUAAUUGUGGCUGGAGAACGGUGCUUUGCCUGUGCAGGGUUCUUCUGGGGGCAAAUAAAGGCUGGUGGUGCCCAUCCAUGGGCUGGGAUGUGGGAAAUGGGAGCUCCUGAGCUGUUUGCUCCUCUGCAGAAGGAAAGGAAGGAGGGACAAGCACUCCCAUUUUGCUAAAUAAGGAUAAGGAAUUGGUGGCAUAGACAGGGCAGGACUCUCCUUGAGAUCCUGCAGGUGUGGAGAAGAGCUUUGUUCCAGCAGGUGGGAUGGGAGGUGUGAGCACCACAUGCUGCCAGGUUGUUUCUUGGUGGCAGAAGAGGUGAAAAUGAAAGAGGUGUUGGAAGGAGGAAGGUGUUGAGCAGAGGCUUCAUUUACAGGGAAAGGUGUUGGAAUUGUGUAGAGUGGGAGCAGCAGGGUGAGGAGCUGGUGGAGUGGCUCUUUCCAACCCCACAUUGCUUUGGUCCCGCUCUGUUAAAAGCCAAAAGCACAGCAGCUCUUAGGGGGAUGCAGAAUAAGUGGGGAUUUAAAGCUUUAGGGUUGGAGAAUGUGAAGCCAGGGCUCCCACAUGGUUCCUGUAACAGCAGCAAAGCAAAGCUGUGGUAAUGUUUGAUUUGGUGAGAGUGAGGAGCUUCAUUUCAAGAGGUGAAAACUCUGUUUUUUUUAAUGAAAGCUUCAUCCCUGCUGCAGAAGGGCUUGGCUGAGGCCUCAGUGCAGGAUUGGCUGAGUGCAGCACCACUUCAUCCCCUUCAGCUCCCAGUGCCUUAAACACUUCAGAAAUAAUACUCUUAUCCAGGAAUCCUGGUGGCUUGGGAACCCUGGGGAUCCUGUCCUGGAUGCAGAUGUGAGCUGCUCCAUCCCAGUGGUGCCUGCUGGGGUUUAGGGGGUAAAGGGAUGAUGGUUCCAGUGUGGAAGGAACAUUCCCAGGGCACUUGCUGCCUCCAGAUUCCUGGGAGAAGCUGUGGAGCAGAGUAGGAAGAAUGAGCUGCUCUGUAGCACUGAUAUUCCCCAUUCCCUGUAAUUUUUCCCUCAUUUAAGGACAGUUUCUUUGGCACUGUGUAAUUGUGUAACUGCUGGAUUUGGCCCUUCAUCUAUGGAGGAACUUUCUUACCUGUGACACUGUUGGUGCUCCUUGAAACUGUUAAAAUAUUCUGUAGCUUUUUAUUAAAUACAAACCACCUAAUUUUGGGCUUAAAAUAACCUGUUUCACAGUUUAAAGGUGUGUUUCUGUAGGGGAAACAACUCUCUUGCCACCUUAAUUUUAAAAAAGUGGAUGAGAAGUAAAAAGGGUGAGGAAAAAAAAUAGGAUAAUUAAAUCUCCUUAAUAUUUUAAAAAUAUUAAUAUUUUAAAAAUAAUAAAUUAAUAAAAUUAACAAAAG